RNAcentral lists this ribosomal RNA (253 nucleotides) under uncultured bacterium. Its description in RNAcentral is "partial 16S ribosomal RNA". It matches the Rfam family "Bacterial small subunit ribosomal RNA", at positions 524 to 776 of the family's 1533-position model. The record is from RNAcentral.
UACGUAGGGCGCAAGCGUUGUCCGGAAUUACUGGGCGUAAAGCGUGCGCAGGCGGUUUGUUAGGUCUGCUGUGAAAUCCCCGAGCUCAACUUGGGAAUUGCAGUGGAUACUGGCAAGCUGGAGUACGGUAGAGGAAGGUGGAAUUCCCGGUGUAGCAGUGAAAUGCGUAGAGAUCGGGAGGAACACCAGUGGCGAAGGCGGCCUUCUGGACCAGUACUGACGCUCAUGCACGAAAGCGUGGGGAGCAAACAGG